This 433-nucleotide ribosomal RNA is filed under the name uncultured bacterium. Its description in RNAcentral is "partial 16S ribosomal RNA". It matches the Rfam family "Bacterial small subunit ribosomal RNA", at positions 29 to 507 of the family's 1533-position model. The record is from RNAcentral.
AACGAACGCUGGCGGCAUGCCUAACACAUGCAAGUCGAACGAGACCUUCGGGUCUAGUGGCGCACGGGUGCGUAACGCGUGGGAACCUGCCCUUAGGUUCGGAAUAACUCCCCGAAAGGGGUGCUAAUACCGGAUAAUGUCUUCGGACCAAAGAUUUAUCGCCUUUGGAUGGGCCCGCGUUGGAUUAGCUAGUUGGUAGGGUAAAAGCCUACCAAGGCGACGAUCCAUAGCUGGUCUGAGAGCAUGAUCAGCCACACUGGGACUGAGACACGGCCCAGACUCCUACGGGAGGCAGCAGUGGGGAAUAUUGGACAAUGGGCGAAAGCCUGAUCCAGCAAUGCCGCGUGAGUGAUGAAGGCCUUAGGGUUGUAAAGCUCUUUUACCCGGGAUGAUAAUGACAGUACCGGGAGAAUAAGCUCCGGCUAACUCCGUG